This is a long non-coding RNA of Dermochelys coriacea (leatherback sea turtle), 2890 nucleotides long. RefSeq lists it as uncharacterized. The record is from RefSeq and is a predicted model, not a curated record. Lineage: Eukaryota; Metazoa; Chordata; Testudines; Dermochelyidae. The transcript has 3 exons.
GGGGAAGCCAGAGAGUGGAAGGAGAGUGGUUGUGCUUCCUUCCUGGCUGUAGGACUGAGAAGCCCUUAGGGCUGAAACCCCCAACUGUAUGUGGUGAGAAGGUGGUGGGAUUGUGUGCUCCUUUGCUGGUCGGUUAUGAGGCUCAUCUGGAAGAGGUGGUGAUGGUCCUACCAAUUGUUCCAAUUCAUUUCUGACAUUUGAACCCGCCAGACGUAUUACAUCUGGAGCAACAGAGGCUGGAGGCAGAAGAAAUAACAGUGUGGGUGAGACAGCUUUCUGUCUUGGAUGAUUGAUGCAGGAACAACAGAGCUUGACUGUUUGAUGGCCUCUGACUCACCCGUACUGAUGUGUCCUAUACUGAGCAGGCAUUUCUUGGGCUUGUGCAGGUCACUGAAAAACAUGUGGUAAAGGCUGCAGCCCAUCGCCUAGGUCAGAGAGGGGAACAAACACAGACUCUCUAUGCUGUGCUGCCAAUCAAGAGAGAGGUUGGAUUCAUACCAUAGCAUGCUGCAUUUCAUGAGUAACACAAGUUCUUCAGACAUAUUAAAGGAAACAAGAUCUGCAGUCACUUCAGGAGACCACAGAAAAUGCUUCAUUAUUUCCUUUUAUAGGUAGAAAUGGGCCUGAGCAAACCCCCUCGAUUUGAAGUCUCUUGUUCUUUGGCAUAUUUGAAUUCCAGAUCCAGAUGCAAGUUUUUUGUGGCUAAUACCCACUCCUACUUACAUUGAUCAUUUUCUUAACAUCUGAUGCAUCUUUAAUAUGUAUAAUCAAACAUGUCCUAAAACAUCACCAUGGCUUUGGGGGACACCAGCGAGAAAUGUACCUUCUUGAAAGGAAUAUUUUACUGUGUUUUGUGGGCAGAAAUAAGACAACUACCCUUUUCAAAACAGGCAGAAGCAAAAUAUCUAAUCUUUCAGUUGCAUCCAUCACUGUAGUAUCUGUCAUCUAACGUUAUGCUCGGUCAUCAGCAAUCUGGUGAAAGCAUGCAGUGUAACUCCAGUCCCCCACAUUCAAGAUUAUCUUCCCCAAAUUCCACAGUAGCCCUGUCUUUCUGUUCAGUCUUAGACUAUAGGGAUUUUGAGUUUUCCUAUCAUGCUUUUCUGCAGUGACCUCCUUAAAGAGUCAUGGGGGCAAGAAGAACAUUGUUUGUCAAAAUAUUCAAACCAGCCCUGUGCAUGUGUCAAAAAGACAUAUUUCUUUCACUUGGUUUCAGCUGCCAGGAGAGGUUCCUUUUGCUCAUCAAAGAGCACCCUUUACCCAUAACAUUUCAGGCUAAGUGUCAGCUAACAAGUCCCCGUUUGGGACCUUAGCUGCUGGGAUUUCCAGUAAAAGAGUGGGAUUUUUCCCUAGCUGCUGCUGCUCCCAAGGAUGCUCACAGAGACCUCCCAUCUCCCCUAGCAGCCUCCCUCCUGUCCUGGGAUUUUAUGAAGCAGAGUUAAGAAUCAGUUCAGUUAAUCCACACUACGCCAUCACAGAAUCCGCUCCGGCACAGAGCCCAGGCUAGGAAAUGUAAAUACAGUGGGCAGCAGUAGGAACAAGAAGGGAAAUCCGUGCGGGGAGGGGGCAUUUAAUUGGUAUAUUCAAUACACUGAGAGAUGAGUAGCAGGGCCUAAAAUAACCCUCCCUAUCUUACACUCCAUUGCUUGGGAGGUGGGGGAGAUGAAGGCACAAGAACCAAGAUUCACAAACUCUGAAAUACCCAUAGUUCUAAGGAAACUUCUAACAAUCUGUUUUCCCCACCUCAAAGAGUUCCCAAAUGGCUUCCUAGCAGUUAGGGAUAGCAUAAAUUACCAGCACUUGAGUGAACUAGCAAAUGCCCUUAUUAGCACCUAGGUGGUGGUGAUGCUGGGCUGGUAAAUUGAAUCUUUGCAAAUCAGGGUGGUGUUUGCCAGGUCUCCAGCCUAUGUCAACACAGCUCUUUGAGUGAGGCCUCUCCUGACCUCUUAGCUGCAGGGCUAGAGGUGGAUGCAGCUUGCUACGCAGCCUGGAAUUUUCCAGCUUUUUUCUUCUUUUGGCCAUUUAAUGCUGUCUGAGAAGAGGCAGGGGGUAGGAGAGACAGAAGGAAAGAGAGAGACACUGAAUCAGAAACAGACACAGAGGAAAAAGUAGAGUGCAUAGUGAGAAAGAGAGGGAGAGCAAUAGAUAGUGAUACAGAAUGAGCACAUGAGAUAAAUCCCAUUUACGCAUGGAAAACCAGCUCCUGGUAAAGGUGGGUUGAGGACACAUAGGCCCAAAUUCCCUGUUGGAGUAAUCCUACUGACUGCCCUGGAAUUACAGCAGAAGGGAAAAUGGUUUACACUUGAGAUCCAGAUUUGAGGUUUCUGGCUCUUCCCAUAAUAGUGAUGCAGCCAGGUACAAAGAUCGGAGCAAUAUCCGAAUCAAGAUCCAGAUGAGCCUAACCUAGUCCUUGGCUUUGGUUUGGACCUAUGUUGACUUUCUGUUACACAGGUACGUGGAGUGGGCUUGUCAGAAGCACUUGGCAUAGGCCUAACUCUGUUCUCAUUGAAGUGAAUGUGAGUUUUACCAUUGGCUUCCAUGAGGAGCAGAGAGAGGCCCCCACCAAGUGCUUCUGACAGUCCAGCCCGUGACAAAUGAACGUUGACAAUGUUUAUAUUCUUGUCUGGCAACCACAACCACCAGAACCUGCUCAUUCCUGCAGCUGAGUAUAUGGGGCUCCCAUUGACUUCAGUGGGAAUGGUUCCCAUGUACCUUCCGGGAUAAGCGGGAGGGACCUUGCCAAUGAGACCUGUAGCUGAAUAGACAAAACAGUAAAAGAAAGAAAGAAGGCUGCCCAGGUCAGUUAGGAGAAGGUCUAACCUGCUCCUACUUAUAUGCUGUGUAGAGCAGAUUUUCAUAUCAUUUCAUGGAAAAAGCAGAGCUACUUUGGGAA